CCCUUAGAUGUUCUGGGCCGCACGCGCGCUACAAUGAUGCAUUCAACGAGUUUAUAACCUUGGUUGAAAAGCCUGGGUAAUCUUUUGAACUUUCGUCGUGAUGGGGCUAGACCCUUGCAAUUAUUGGUCUCCAACGAGGAAUUCCUAGUAAACGCAAGUCAUCAGCUUGCAUUGAUUACGUCCCUGCCCUUUGUACACACCGCCCGUCGCACCUACCGAUUGAAUGGUCCGGUGAAAUCUUCGGAUUGAGACUUUGAUUUCUUCACGGAAAACGCUGUUUUAAAAAGUUGAUUAAACCUUACCAUUUAGAGGAAGGUGAAGUCGUAACA
Molecule: ribosomal RNA, 329 nt
Filed under: uncultured eukaryote
Lineage: Eukaryota
Description: partial 18S ribosomal RNA
Rfam family: Eukaryotic small subunit ribosomal RNA
Source: RNAcentral